GCAAUGGGGUGAGCUCCCUUUGCUCGGUCCCUGCUCCUGCCAACCUAGCUGUUCGAAAGCACGUCAAAGUGCAAGUAGAUAAAUAGGUACUGCUCCGGCGGGAAGGUAAACGGCAUUUCCGUGCGCUGCUCUGGUUUGCCAGAAGCGGCUUAGUCAUGCUGGCCACAUGACCUGGAAGCUGUACGCUGGCUCCCUCGGCCUAUACAGCGAGAUGAGUGCCGCAACCCCAGAGUUGUCCGCGACUGGACCUAAUGGUCAGGGGUCCCUUUACCUUUACCAUCAAACCAGAAAUAUAAAACUUGAGUUUUGUAUUUAGGGUUGUCCCUCCAGACAUGUUUGAAAAGACCCCAAGAUAAAGGGGGUCCUCAACAUUAGCGGGCCCACAUCCACCUGCAGUGAAAACAAUAGGCAGAUAAUUUGCUGCCUGAGCUGAAGCAGCAGAUAGUGCCCUCUAAGGUCAAAGUGCAUAAUAUACCCAAUGCCACUCAAGUUAUUUUCUAUUUCUAGAAAAAGAGGAGCCAGAACUCACCAUGAAUGCCUCCCUUGUUCUCUUAUAAUGGCAAUGGCAUCCACCUGAGAGCUGUCAGAACUGAGUUCUGGUGAGUUCCAGCUGAAAAAAGCCGUAAAUCUAUAACUGUCUGUCUUUCUAUAUCUCUCAUUUUACCCCAUACUUCAGCAAAUAAAAAAGGCUCGUACGACUGCUUACAUACAGCUCUCCCUGCCUCUCAGCAGUUAAAACACAAUAAUAAUAAAUUAGUUAACAAUGCAACCCUGUCAGGACACCCAGAAUCAGUUGCCCUGAGGUGACCGCCUUGCUCUGCCUAAUGGCAAGACCAGUGCUGGCAGGCAGUGAUUUUAAUUCCCCACAAAACCCUGGAGUGUCCGAUAUAAAGUCACUACAGGGAAUUGUGGGAAAUUAGGAUGGCUGUCUGCUGCUGUUGCCAAUGUAUCAUGGGCAGUGCCAGAUGGGGGUCAUGGGGCAACCCCUCCCCCAAACAAGGAACUCCCCACCCCCCACUUGCCUCCCCUUUGUGGGCAUUAGCAUAUACUGUUAUUUUUCUUUCCAAGAUAUUAACAUGUGGGAUACAACUCGCCCACCUAGAAAUUAAGGCUGGGCGAUAUAUCGUCCCAAAACCAGUUUGAAGUCCAUAGUGUGAUAUCGGUUUCAUUUCUGACCUGGCAAUGUAUCACAAAUCAUAAUGUGUGUUAUGGCUGGGUGAUAUAUACGUAUUGUUCCAAACUGGUUUCAAGUCCAUAAUUGGUUUCAUAAUUUUUGACCUGACAAUCUAUUGAAAACUGGGUGUGCGUGUGCUGUGCGAUGCAAAAAUCACAAUGUGGGGGAAACCGUGAAGCCAACUAAUGCCUCUACAUAGCUCCAGCCUUAUUUCAGACAUUGUGAUAUAUCAGUAUAUCGUUGCGUUUAGCCGGUGAUAUAUCACAAUGUUGAAAACCAGGUAUUGCCCAUCCCUACUAGAAAUAUGAGGGGUGCGGGUGGCGCUGUAGGUUAAACCACAGAGCCUAGAGCUUGCUGAUCAGAAGGUCGGCGGUUCGAAUCCCCACAAUGGGGUGAGCUCCUGUUGUUCUGUCCCUGCUCCUGCCAACCUAGCAGUUCAAAAGCACAAAGUGCAAGUAGAUAAAUAGGUACCACUCCAGCGGGAAGGUAAACGGUGUUUCUGUGCGCUGCUCUCGUUCACCAGAAGCGGCUUAGUCAUGCUGGCCACAUGACCCGGAAGCUGUAUGCCAGCUCCCUUGGCCAAUAAAGCGAGAUGAGUGCCGCAACCACAGAGUCGUCCGUGACUUUACCUUUACCGUACUAGAAAUAUACCUUGUCCCUUCUGUGCAAUUUUUUCCUGGUGUCACCCCUGCACUGCACUAUAUCCUAAACAUCGCUGGCGUGCCUCAGGGUGCUGGCGCUGGGCCUGUCCAACAGGAUUUGCUCGGAAAGCGCUAAGGGCUGAGAGCAGUCAAUACCUUCUACCCAGCGUAGCAGCUGCAGCAGUGGUUGCAGGAAUAUCUGGGGAGGGGGCUUUGAAGUACUUCUGUGAUGGCCUGGGAUUCGGACUCAGAGGCUGAACCUGAGGAAUCCCAGCCUGCACAGGAGUCCCCACCUCCAGAACCAGCUGAGCCGGGGCUGGGGCUUGAGCCUGAAGGGUCCUCACCUGUGCUGGAUCCUCAGGUGCAGGCACCAGCAGAGUCUGCUCUGGCUCCUGAGGUGAUGGAGGACCCAUUGCCUGCAGGUACUCCACUCUCAGCCCCGGCAGGGGAAACUGAGGUUGCCUCUGGGUCUGGUAACCCUCCAGCCGCUCCUGAGCUGCAGAGGCUCAGGGCAGAGAGGCGGAGGGAACUAAGUUCUCGCAGGAGGAGUGCUCGCCUCCAGGCCAGGAGAGGCAAGUCACCUGUGGACCGGGGCCGCCCUAUGCCUCGGGGCAGAUAAAAGCCAGCCAACCCCAAGUUGCGGGAGCAACGUUGUUGGUAGCCUGUUCCUGCCUGCACCCUGUCCUGCUCUUCUGCCAGAGUUCCUGACCUCACCCGACUCCCUGCCUUGGACCCAGCUUCAGCUUUGAUGGACAGUAUCCAUACCGCACCCUCGACCUCGGACUGGACUCGGACCUCGCCGCACGGUUAACUCUCGGGACCAGCACAACUUCUGCCUACGCCCUUCCCCAGAACCUGCCUUGCCAUCACACCUCUGAGCUCAAGCAAAGCUAGGAGCCAUGGCAGUUGUACACCAGCCCACAUUUACUUGCUACUAUUGAAAGCACCCAUAUUCUGAAGACAGAUGGCUGAACAGAGAAGCUCACAAUUCGUUUAAUCUCAGGGAUUCUCUUAGGUCAGCAGGAUAACAAGAUUCAGAAAGUAUCUUCUCCAGAGCCCGAAUAUUCUUUGUGGGACCCAUCCAAAUGACAGCAAUGGAUCGUCACAAUAUAA
This 2928-nucleotide long non-coding RNA is filed under the name Podarcis lilfordi (Lilford's wall lizard). The record is from RNAcentral. Lineage: Eukaryota; Metazoa; Chordata; Lepidosauria; Squamata; Lacertidae.